AGACAGUUGACCAGACAGUUGACCGCACCACCCCAACUUUCCUUCACCAAGAAUUAGAUGACGAGGGCUGUGACAAGCCUUUUUCGCCCCACUCUCCUCUACAGUCCCUCCGCAACAAUCAGACAACUACUUCAUUUUAAGGAUACUAGCGGCUGCCUCUACGGGCUAAGUCUGUAGCAGGAGAGGUAGUGGACAAGCCACUGCUGUUCAAGACCUGUAAGACAGAUGUGCGGCAGCCUAUUAGGAACAGAUUUAGGUUUUUAGAUUUUGUAGUUGUUAGUAAAUAGUAAAUUUAAGGGGGAUCUGUUAUGGACGUAAAAUAGCAUUAGUAAAAUGUCUAUUUACUUUGCACACCUGUAUUCAAUUUUUACUCAAAAUGGC
Molecule: non-coding RNA, 381 nt
Organism: Pelobates cultripes (western spadefoot toad)
Lineage: Eukaryota; Metazoa; Chordata; Amphibia; Anura; Pelobatidae
Source: the annotation of a GenBank genome assembly